RNAcentral lists this ribosomal RNA (472 nucleotides) under uncultured bacterium. Its description in RNAcentral is "bacterial SSU rRNA". It matches the Rfam family "Bacterial small subunit ribosomal RNA", at positions 335 to 798 of the family's 1533-position model. The record is from RNAcentral.
ACUCCUACGGGAGGCAGCAGUGGGGAAUAUUGCACAAUGGGCGCAAGCCUGAUGCAGCCAUGCCGCGUGUAUGAAGAAGGCCUUCGGGUUGUAAAGUACUUUCAGCAGUGAGGAAGGUGGGUAUGUUAAUAGCAUACUCAUUUGACGUUAGCUGCAGAAGAAGCACCGGCUAACUCCGUGCCAGCAGCCGCGGUAAUACGGAGGGUGCGAGCGUUAAUCGGAAUUACUGGGCGUAAAGCGCAUGCAGGUGGUUUGUUAAGUCAGAUGUGAAAGCCCGGGGCUCAACCUCGGAAUUGCAUUUGAAACUGGCAAACUAGAGUACUGUAGAGGGGGGUAGAAUUUCAGGUGUAGCGGUGAAAUGCGUAGAGAUCUGAAGGAAUACCGGUGGCGAAGGCGGCCCCCUGGACAGAUACUGACACUCAGAUGCGAAAGCGUGGGGAGCAAACAGGAUUAGAUACCCUGGUAGGCCUGC